Molecule: transfer RNA, 76 nt
Filed under: Bdellovibrionales bacterium
Lineage: Bacteria; Pseudomonadati; Bdellovibrionota; Bdellovibrionia; Bdellovibrionales
Description: tRNA-Arg
Rfam family: tRNA
About the family: Transfer RNA (tRNA) molecules are approximately 80 nucleotides in length. Their secondary structure includes four short double-helical elements and three loops (D, anti-codon, and T loops). Further hydrogen bonds mediate the characteristic L-shaped molecular structure. tRNAs have two regions of fundamental functional importance: the anti-codon, which is responsible for specific mRNA codon recognition, and the 3' end, to which the tRNAs corresponding amino acid is attached (by aminoacyl-tRNA synthetases). tRNAs cope with the degeneracy of the genetic code in two manners: having more than one tRNA (with a specific anti-codon) for a particular amino acid; and 'wobble' base-pairing, i.e. permitting non-standard base-pairing at the 3rd anti-codon position.
Source: RNAcentral
CGUCCCAUAGUUUAUUUGGAUAAAACAUAUCUUUCCUAAAGAUACGAGCCAGGUUCGAAUCCUGGUGGGACGGCCA